GAUGAACGCUGGCGGCGUGCCUAAUACAUGCAAGUCGAGCGAACAGACGAGGAGCUUGCUCCUCUGACGUUAGCGGCGGACGGGUGAGUAACACGUGGAUAACCUACCUAUAAGACUGGGAUAACUUCGGGAAACCGGAGCUAAUACCGGAUAAUAUAUUGAACAGCAUGGUUCAAUAGUGAAAGACGGUUUUGCUGUCACUUAUAGAUGGAUCCGCGCCGCAUUAGCUAGUUGGUAAGGUAACGGCUUACCAAGGCGACGAUGCGUAGCCGACCUGAGAGGGUGAUCGGCCACACUGGAACUGAGACACGGUCCAGACUCCUACGGGAGGCAGCAGUAGGGAAUCUUCCGCAAUGGGCGAAAGCCUGACGGAGCAACGCCGCGUGAGUGAUGAAGGUCUUCGGAUCGUAAAACUCUGUUAUUAGGGAAGAACAAAUGUAUAAGUAACUAUGCACGUCUUGACGGUACCUAAUCAGAAAGCCACGGCUAACUACGUG
Molecule: ribosomal RNA, 497 nt
Filed under: uncultured bacterium
Lineage: Bacteria
Description: partial 16S ribosomal RNA
Rfam family: Bacterial small subunit ribosomal RNA
Source: RNAcentral